RNAcentral lists this ribosomal RNA (449 nucleotides) under uncultured bacterium. RNAcentral describes it as "partial 16S ribosomal RNA". It matches the Rfam family "Bacterial small subunit ribosomal RNA", at positions 29 to 526 of the family's 1533-position model. The record is from RNAcentral.
AACGAACGCUGGCGGCAUGCCUAACACAUGCAAGUCGAACGAGAUCUUCGGGUCUAGUGGCGCACGGGUGCGUAACGCGUGGGAAUCUGCCCUUUGGUUCGGAAUAACAGUUGGAAACGACUGCUAAUACCGGGUGAUGACGGAAGUCCAAAGAUUUAUCGCCAGAGGAUGAGCCCGCGUAGGAUUAGCUAGUUGGUGUGGUAAAGGCGCACCAAGGCGACGAUCCUUAGCUGGUCUGAGAGGAUGAUCAGCCACACUGGGACUGAGACACGGCCCAGACUCCUACGGGAGGCAGCAGUGGGGAAUAUUGGACAAUGGGCGAAAGCCUGAUCCAGCAAUGCCGCGUGAGUGAUGAAGGCCUUAGGGUUGUAAAGCUCUUUUACCCGGGAUGAUAAUGACAGUACCGGGAGAAUAAGCUCCGGCUAACUCCGUGCCAGCCGCCGUAAGAC